Molecule: long non-coding RNA, 1054 nt
Organism: Lepisosteus oculatus (spotted gar)
Lineage: Eukaryota; Metazoa; Chordata; Actinopteri; Semionotiformes; Lepisosteidae
Source: RefSeq, a predicted model, not a curated record
GUAUGAGCAGAGCUGUAAUCUCGAUGUGAGGUGAGGUUUUCCAGCUGAACCCACACACAAGGCCUUCCUCUGCUCCACAGCAGUGCUGGGCUCUCCUUCACUCCACAGGCUCAGUCAGAGCUGCAGUGAGCACUGGUGCCAGACGAGGAGCAGCCGCUGAAAAGGCCAAACAGGUCCAAAAAAAGGGGAGUUGAUGGGAUUUCUUACACAAUUAUUUGUGUCCUUAACUCGAAGGAACCAGCAAGCGACAGACACUUGCUUCUAGAUAAAGAGCGCAGUGUUGUUGGUGGCCAGUUAGUCGUCGCAGCAUCGCCUAGCAACCCCCUCAGACUGCAGCAGCCUGUCAACACGCCGGCAGGAGCGCACCUCGGCGAUGAAGCUACAGAAAAAAUGCAAGCGUGUUUCAAGGGUAUGCACUGCUGUGACAUUGACACCACUGGAGAACAUUAUCAGUAGAAAUGUGGUCACUACUGAUACUGAAAAUCCAUUGAAGAAGCUCCAGAUGGGUUUCUUGGGAAACCGAGCUUGGGAACCAUUAACCAUUUUCACAGGAGGUGAAAUUCCCCCCAGUGAGGUGUGGAAGCUCCGUACAGCAGCAGCUUGGGGAACCAUGUUCACACCAGAUCAGGACAGUGUGUUCCACCCUGGUACCAGGGGCGGGUUACACAACCAUCUGAGUACAAAAGGCUUGAUUUGCUGAAGGGUCAUUGUGGCUGGGAAGACAGCGAACUUUGGGUUCUGCAAACACGGAGAGAAUAAUCCCCCAGGGUUUCGCACAAAUAUGCAUAACUUGAAAACUGCAAUAGGCUCAGAACCUUUGUUAAAAAUGGAUCGGGGGGUCUGUAAAGUGCAGCUAUUAAUCUAGUGUGAAACAGGGGCAAGGUGAAUGCCCUGCAGGGCCAUAAUAUUGGUCAGUGUUAUGACAGCAAGAAAAUUAAAAUAAACAAAAACUAAUGACUGUUUUGUUCAGGACAAACUUAAAAAAAUAAACAACCUAAUCAACAGCUCCUUCCUCACAGUUUUGAAAGAAAAUUACCUAAGAAGAUAAAGGCUG